CCUACGGGAGGCAGCAGUGGGGAAUAUUGGGCAAUGGGCGCAAGCCUGACCCAGCAAUGCCGCGUGAAGGAAGAAGGCUUUCGGGUUGUAAACUUCUUUGACAGGGGAAGAGCAGAAGACGGUACCCUGAAAACAAGCCACGGCUAACUACGUGCCAGCAGCCGCGGUAAUACGUAGGUGGCAAGGGUUGUCCGGAUUUACUGGGUGUAAAGGGCGUGUAGCCGGGAAGGCAAGUCAGAUGUGAAAUCCGGAGGCUCAACCUCCGAAUUGCAUUUGAAACUGUUUUUCUUGAGUACUGGAGAGGCAGACGGAAUUCCUUGUGUAGCGGUGAAAUGCGUAGAUAUAAGGAGGAACACCAGUGGCGAAGGCAGCUUACCAAACUACGACUGACGUUGAGGCACGAAAGCGUGGGGAGCAAACAGGAUUAGAUACCCUUGUAGUC
RNAcentral lists this ribosomal RNA (442 nucleotides) under uncultured bacterium. RNAcentral describes it as "partial 16S ribosomal RNA". It matches the Rfam family "Bacterial small subunit ribosomal RNA", at positions 338 to 795 of the family's 1533-position model. The record is from RNAcentral.